AAGUCGUAACAAGGUUUCCGUAGGUGAACCUGCGGAAGGAUCAUUAUUGAAUAAGCUUGGUUGGGUUGUCGCUGGCUCUUCGGAGCAUGUGCACGCCUAACACCAAUCUUCUUACCACCUGUGCACUUUUUGUAGAUCUGGAUAUCUCUCGAGGAAACUCGGUAUUGAGGGCUGCUGUGCGUUAAAGCCGGCUUUCCUUACAUUUCCGGUCUAUGUCUUUAUAUACACCAUUUGUAUGUCUACGAAUGUUAUUAUAGGACUUUGUCCAAAUAAACCUUAUACAACUUUCAACAACGGAUCUCUUGGCUCUC
RNAcentral lists this unclassified non-coding RNA (311 nucleotides) under air metagenome. RNAcentral's name for it is "partial contains small subunit ribosomal RNA, internal transcribed spacer 1, and 5.8S ribosomal RNA". The stretch from base 1 to 46 matches the Rfam family "Eukaryotic small subunit ribosomal RNA", at positions 1786 to 1831 of the family's 1831-position model. The record is from RNAcentral.